AGAGCGAACGCUGGCGGCAGGCCUAACACAUGCAAGUCGAGCGCCCCGCAAGGGGAGCGGCAGACGGGAGAGUAACACGUGGGAACGUACCCUUUGGUUCGGAACAACACAGGGAAACUUGUGCUAAUACCGGAUAAGCCCUUACGGGGAAAGAUUUAUCGGCUAAGGAUGGACUCGCGGCCUAUCAGCUAGUUGGUGGGGUAGAAGCCUACCAAGGCGACGACGGGUAGCC
RNAcentral lists this ribosomal RNA (232 nucleotides) under uncultured bacterium. Its description in RNAcentral is "partial small subunit ribosomal RNA". It matches the Rfam family "Bacterial small subunit ribosomal RNA", at positions 26 to 288 of the family's 1533-position model. The record is from RNAcentral.